Molecule: ribosomal RNA, 327 nt
Filed under: uncultured eukaryote
Lineage: Eukaryota
Description: partial 18S ribosomal RNA
Rfam family: Eukaryotic small subunit ribosomal RNA
Source: RNAcentral
CCCUUAGAUGUUCUGGGCCGCACGCGCGCUACACUGAUUCAUGCAGCAAGUUUUGUCCUUGGCUGAUAGGCCUGGGUAAUCUUUGAACGUGAAUCGUGAUGGGGAUAGAUGAUUGCAAUUAUUCAUCUUCAACGAGGAAUUCCUAGUAAACGCAAGUCAUCAGCUUGCAUUGAUUACGUCCCUGCCCUUUGUACACACCGCCCGUCGCACCUACCGAUUGAAUGGUCCGGUGAAAUCUUCGGAUCUGAGAGAUGUCUGAUUAAUUUCGGACGCCUUUUGGAAAAGUUGUUUAAACCUUACCAUUUAGAGGAAGGUGAAGUCGUAACA